GACAUGGGAGGGUGAGAACCGAGUGUAAGUGCAUCUGUGUGUCAGUGUUUUUGGGUGAGGGUGUGUAUUAGUACAUGCUUGAAUAUGUCAGCUUGUGUGAGUGCAUAUGUCAGUCUGCUUGGGUAUCAUCUUGAGGCAUCACACACGGGGUGGCUUAAACAACAGAAAUGUAUUAGUUUACAGUCUGGAGGCUGGAAGCCCAAGAUCAUGGUAUUGAAAUGAUAAGAAAUCUGACUUUCUUGUAGCCUCAUCCUGGGUUUGCGAGUUUAUGAAGAAGCUGAAGAGCUCCAUCAUUUCCCAGCUAAACAUAGUUCUUCAGGUCUCAGGGUUUAAAAUGAUUUCCUCCUAAGUCAACGCAGCAUUUUGCCUCCAUUCCAGCAACCCCUUCCUCCAAGCAUCGUGAUGUGACAGUGCAGCGUUCACAGGCCCACCCCAGCUGAUCUGCCCUACGGCACAAGAAUAACAAUUGGAAAAACUUGGCUUCCCUCUGAGAGCAAUGCCAGCUUUGCCCAGGCCAGCCAUCUCUGGUAUAACUCUGUUCAUUUGAGCUUUCCUCAUGUAUGAUCAUCCUUGUAUGACCCCGAGGCCAGAGUCCCCAUUUAUUAAAGCUAGGAAAGACAUUUUUGAGGCUCUAGUUAGUUUGUUCUUUCAUAGUGAAAGAACUGUUUGUGGGCUCAAAGGGGGAUGUGGCAAUAGGUUAUUUCGGGCUUUCGAAAGGCCUG
This 722-nucleotide long non-coding RNA is filed under the name Pongo abelii (Sumatran orangutan). RNAcentral describes it as "lincRNA". Lineage: Eukaryota; Metazoa; Chordata; Mammalia; Primates; Hominidae. The record is from RNAcentral.